GCUGGGCAUAGUGGCGCGUGCCUGUAAUCCCAGCAAUUCUGGAGGCUGAGGCAGGAGGAUCAUGAGUUCCAAGCCAGCCUCAGCAAAAGCAAGGUGCUAAAGCAAUUCAGUGGGACCCUGUCUCUA
This 126-nucleotide small RNA is filed under the name Marmota monax (woodchuck). Lineage: Eukaryota; Metazoa; Chordata; Mammalia; Rodentia; Sciuridae. The record is from RNAcentral.